GACGAACGCUGGCGGCGUGCUUAACACAUGCAAGUCGAACGGUGAACCUCUUCGGAGGGGAUCAGUGGCGAACGGGUGAGUAACACGUGGGCAACCUGCCCCCGGCUCUGGGAUAACUCCAAGAAAUUGGGGCUAAUACCGGAUGUUCACCGCUUCCCGCAUGGGUGGUGGUGGAAAGGGUUUCCGGCUGGGGAUGGGCCCGCGGCCUAUCAGCUUGUUGGUGGGGUAGUGGCCUACCAAGGCGACGACGGGUAGCCGGCCUGAGAGGGUGACCGGCCACACUGGGACUGAGACACGGCCCAGACUCCUACGGGAGGCAGCAGUGGGGAAUAUUGCGCAAUGGGCGGAAGCCUGACGCAGCGACGCCGCGUGGGGGAUGACGGCCUUCGGGUUGCAAACCUCUUUCAGCAGGGACGAAGCGCAAGUGACGGUACCUGCAGAAGAAGCACCGGCCAACUACGUG
RNAcentral lists this ribosomal RNA (463 nucleotides) under uncultured bacterium. RNAcentral's name for it is "partial 16S ribosomal RNA". It matches the Rfam family "Bacterial small subunit ribosomal RNA", at positions 28 to 507 of the family's 1533-position model. The record is from RNAcentral.